UUUUUGCUUCUUUUUUACUUUUUU
Molecule: small RNA, 24 nt
Filed under: Arabidopsis thaliana (thale cress)
Lineage: Eukaryota; Viridiplantae; Streptophyta; Magnoliopsida; Brassicales; Brassicaceae
Description: ATSL018900
Source: RNAcentral